This 402-nucleotide ribosomal RNA is filed under the name bacterium enrichment culture clone ALO1_GLFRUDD03HCUA5. Its description in RNAcentral is "bacterial SSU rRNA". It matches the Rfam family "Bacterial small subunit ribosomal RNA", at positions 9 to 410 of the family's 1533-position model. The record is from RNAcentral.
GAGUUUGAUCCUGGCUCAGAUUGAACGCUGGCGGCAUGCCUUACACAUGCAAGUCGAACGGCAGCACGGGAGCUUGCUCCUGGUGGCGAGUGGCGAACGGGUGAGUAAUGCAUCGGAACGUAUCCUGGAGUGGGGGAUAACGUAGCGAAAGUUACGCUAAUACCGCAUAUUCUGUGAGCAGGAAAGCGGGGGACCUUCGGGCCUCGCGCUCUUGGAGCGGCCGAUGUCGGAUUAGCUAGUUGGUGAGGUAAAGGCGUCACCAAGGCGACGAUCCGUAGCAGGUCUGAGAGGAUGAUCUGCCACACUGGAACUGAGACACGGUCCAGACUCCUACGGGAGGCAGCAGUGGGGAAUUUUGGACAAUGGGGGCAACCCUGAUCCAGCCAUGCCGCGUGAGUGAAG